This 468-nucleotide ribosomal RNA is filed under the name uncultured bacterium. RNAcentral's name for it is "partial 16S ribosomal RNA". It matches the Rfam family "Bacterial small subunit ribosomal RNA", at positions 28 to 507 of the family's 1533-position model. The record is from RNAcentral.
GACGAACGCUGGCGGCGUGCUUAACACAUGCAAGUCGAACGGAAAGGCCCGGCUUUUGUGGGGUGCUCGAUUGGCGAACGGGUGAGUAACACGUGAGUAACCUGCCCUUGACUUUGGGAGAACUUCAGGAAACUGGGGCGAAUACCGGAUAGGAGCUCCCGCUGCAUGGUGGUGGUUGGAAAGUUUCGGCGGUUGGGGAUGGACUCGCGGCUUAUCAGCUUGUUGGUGGGGUAGUGGCUUACCAAGGCUUUGACGGGUAGCCGGCCUGAGAGGGUGACCGGCCACAUUGGGACUGAGAUACGGACCAGACUCCUACGUGCGGCAGCAGUGGGGAGUAUUGCACAAUGGGCGGACGCCUGAUGCAGCGGCGCCGCGUUCGGGAUGCCGGCCUUUGGGUUGUAAACCGCUUUCGCAUGUGACGAAGCGUGAGUGACGGUAACGAGUAAAGAAGCCACGGCUAACUACGUG